Long non-coding RNA from Pogoniulus pusillus (Red-fronted tinkerbird), 969 nucleotides. RefSeq lists it as uncharacterized. The transcript is spliced from 4 exons. The record is from RefSeq and is a predicted model, not a curated record. NCBI's taxonomy places the organism in Eukaryota, Metazoa, Chordata, Aves, Piciformes, Lybiidae.
CCAACUGGGCAGAGGGAUCCUCCUCCUGUUGCCACUGAGUUAACUACAUGGUCAUCUGCUUUUCACCAGGCCUGCAGGUUUUAGGGCCAUAGAACACAGUCUGAAUUGACUUCCCUGUGAAGUUCUACUUAAACUCUUCCAAAACAGCAGUUUUUCAAAUCAUCUUACAAGUGCCACAGAUGCAUGGAAUGAUUGUUAGGAGCACGACUCAUCGCUGCUAGGAAGACAACAAAGUGAGAGUACAGGCAGCUCCAGAUGAGCACUGGAAAAGACACUUUCAGAAGAAGUUGAGGUGUGAACCCAGAAUAAGAAAUCCCAUUAUGGCAGUAGGAAUAAAAUGAGAGGAGAAGCCAGGGAGAAGAUGAGUGAAUCAGUUGUAACAACAGUCGAACGAUUCUACUCUUAGGGUGGGUCUUGUAUUUACUUUAGGCAUUGAAUGACAGAACAGUUAGUUUCAGCAUGCAUUUAAACAUAAAAUGCUAUUAAACUUGAUAGGGUGGCUUGGAAACUUCUAAAGUGCCAAGCAAAUUAAUUUGGCUAUCAUUUACUGGGGAGAGAUAUACCAUUUGCUCAGGGUUAAAUAAAAAUCAACUCGUGGGAAAUGAUAACAGCAAAGAGGAGGAGAAACAUGCUGCUUUCUCCUGACUUACAGAAUGGCCAUUUCAGCACUGUCAUGUAUUUAGCCCCCUGAAUGUAAAAUAACCAAAAAUGCAAAAUACAUGUGUCUAUGUAUGUGUGCUUAUAUAUAAGGGGGGGAGGUAGGAGGGGAAUGUGGAAAUUCUAUAGCAGCGAAGAGUUUGGUAUGUAAGCACUUAAGUGAUUGUCUAUGCCAGACUUUCCAGUAGAACACCUGAACCAGUAUGAUUGUCUUGAUAAACUCCAUGUUUCAGAGCAAAACCUUCCUAAUUCCUGCUUUGGUUUAAGUUUAUACUUGUGCUUAAGCCCCAAUAAAGACUUCUGCCACUGCCA